Neopelma chrysocephalum (saffron-crested tyrant-manakin) is the source of this 507-nucleotide long non-coding RNA. RefSeq lists it as uncharacterized. The record is from RefSeq and is a predicted model, not a curated record. The transcript is spliced from 2 exons. NCBI's taxonomy places the organism in Eukaryota, Metazoa, Chordata, Aves, Passeriformes, Pipridae.
GUCUCCCACUGACACCUGUCUUUUUUCACAGGAAAGACAGAGGAGGGAAAUCCCCCAAAGGCUCAGGGAUCCGGGAUGGAGGAGACCCUUCAGCAGCUCUGCAAAGAAAUGAAAGCUAUGCGUGAAGAUCUCCAGAAAGUGCAGCAAUCCAAAUGCUCAGAGGAGCCCUGAACAAGGAACUAGGUGUGCCGAUAGAAAAUGCAUCAGAAGACGAGGGCACUGAUACAGAUGCAUAGACAACUCCUGAGCUGGUGAAACAUUUAUCAACAAAAUUAAAGUCUGGCACUCAUUACAUUUCUCUUGAGCUUGGCCCCCACCCCCUGCCCUCCCUGGGCUCGCUGUGUUGGGAAGUGCUCGUGCUGCUGGAAGACUGAGACAAUUUUAAGGCUUUUCUCCCUCCUGUGAGCUGGUUCCUGCUGUGCCAGGGCAGAUCCAUCCACUGCCCGGUUUCAACAAGUGAAGGCAACAGCAGCCAAAGUGCAACUGAAUUACCCAGCGAGCUCUACA